This 333-nucleotide unclassified non-coding RNA is filed under the name soil metagenome. RNAcentral describes it as "partial contains 5.8S ribosomal RNA, internal transcribed spacer 2, and large subunit ribosomal RNA". The stretch from base 1 to 120 matches the Rfam family "5.8S ribosomal RNA", at positions 35 to 154 of the family's 154-position model. The record is from RNAcentral.
GAUGAAGAACGCAGCAAAAUGCGAUAAGUAAUGUGAGUUGCAGAAUUCAGUGAAUCAUCGAAUCUUUGAACGCACAUUGCGCCCGCCAGUAUUCUGGCGGGCAUGCCUGUUCGAGCGUCAUUUCAACCCUCAAGCUCAGCUUGGUGUUGGGACUCGCGGUAACCCGCGUUCCCCAAAUCGAUUGGCGGUCACGUCGAGCUUCCAUAGCGUAGUAAUCAUACACCUCGUUACUGGUAAUCGUCGCGGCCACGCCGUAAAACCCCAACUUCUGAAUGUUGACCUCGGAUCAGGUAGGAAUACCCGCUGAACUUAAGCAUAUCAAUAAGCGGAGGA